Molecule: long non-coding RNA, 545 nt
Organism: Felis catus (domestic cat)
Lineage: Eukaryota; Metazoa; Chordata; Mammalia; Carnivora; Felidae
Exons: 2
Source: RefSeq, a predicted model, not a curated record
GUUUUUCCUUGGAAAAAGAGAAAAGCAGAGUGAGCCUUGUUAAAGGGAUAGCUGAGACUUGAAGAUAACUCCCUUUUAUAUGAAGGCUUUGUGCAAGGCACUUUACAUGCUUUUUCACUUUUGACUUCACAGCAAUCUGAUGAGAAAUGAACUAUAAGUAUAUGAACUCAUUUUAAAAUGAAGACGUAGGCAUAGAAUCUUGAGGAGACCAUUUCGCUUACUUAACGUCAGUCAAUCUAUAGUUAGGUCAAGAUUCAGUUGUGUUUGAUACCAAUGGAACCCUUCAAGAGCUUGUUAACAUCAGUGUCAAGGCCCCCCAACCCCAGUCACCCUUUGAUGGAGAUACAGUGAGCAAUGAAAUGGCCAUAAACCUGUGGGAGGAAGAAGAGAGAAGGAAAGUCCAUCAAUCCUUGAAUAAAUUAGAGCUAUUUUAAUCCAACGCUUUAGAAAUGGAAAGUCCUACUCCUAUAGAAUAUUGUUUUGCUCACUAUAUUUGUACAAGAAAUGCAUCUCAAAUGCCAUUUUAUUAAAUCCUCAUCACAGAA